RNAcentral lists this ribosomal RNA (551 nucleotides) under Acinetobacter sp. DIT 05. Its description in RNAcentral is "bacterial SSU rRNA". It matches the Rfam family "Bacterial small subunit ribosomal RNA", at positions 162 to 707 of the family's 1533-position model. The record is from RNAcentral. Lineage: Bacteria; Pseudomonadati; Pseudomonadota; Gammaproteobacteria; Moraxellales; Moraxellaceae.
UAUAAUACCGCAUACGUCCUACGGGAGAAAGCAGGGGACCUUCGGGCCUUGCGCUAAUAGAUGAGCCUAAGUCGGAUUAGCUAGUUGGUGGGGUAAAGGCCUACCAAGGCGACGAUCUGUAGCGGGUCUGAGAGGAUGAUCCGCCACACUGGGACUGAGACACGGCCCAGACUCCUACGGGAGGCAGCAGUGGGGAAUAUUGGACAAUGGGGGGAACCCUGAUCCAGCCAUGCCGCGUGUGUGAAGAAGGCCUUUUGGUUGUAAAGCACUUUAAGCGAGGAGGAGGCUACCGAGAUUAAUACUCUUGGAUAGUGGACGUUACUCGCAGAAUAAGCACCGGCUAACUCUGUGCCAGCAGCCGCGGUAAUACAGAGGGUGCAAGCGUUAAUCGGAUUUACUGGGCGUAAAGCGCGCGUAGGUGGCCAAUUAAGUCAAAUGUGAAAUCCCCGAGCUUAACUUGGGAAUUGCAUUCGAUACUGGUUGGCUAGAGUAUGGGAGAGGAUGGUAGAAUUCCCGGUGUAGCGGUGAAAUGCGUAGAGAUCUGGAGGAAU